CCGGACCUUUUCCCCCCAUUAUCCUUGGUUUGGGACCGGGGGGGGAAAGGGGUGGGACCUUCCCUCAUUGGGGGGGGAUACCUUUUUGGAACGGUAGUUAAUCCCCCAUAACGGUUUUUUUCCCCAGGUAGAUGCUGAAAGGACCAAGUGCUUCCCUUAGAGAUGGACCUGCGUUGUUAUUAGCUAGUUGGGGGGCGUAACGGUUCACCAAGGCAUGGAUACAUAGCCGGCCUGAGGAGGGUGAUCGGCCACACUGGGACUGAGACACGCCCCAGAUUCUUACGGGAGGCAGCAGUAGGGAAUCUUCGGCAAUGGGGGGGAACCCUGACCGAGCAACGCCCGCGCGAGUGAAGAAGGUUUUCGGAUCGUAAAGCUCUGUUGUAAGAGAAGAACGUGUGUGAGAGUGGAAAAUUCACACAGUGACGGUAACUUACCAGAAAGCGACGGCUAACUACGUGCCAGCAGCCGCGGUAAUACGUAGGUCCCGAGCGUUGUCCGGAUUUAUUGGGCGUAAAGCGAGCGCAGGCGGUUUGAUAAGUCUGAAGUAAAAGGCUGUGGCUUAACCAUAGUAUGCUUUGGAAACUGUCAAACUUGAGUGCAGAAGGGGAGAGUGGAAUUCCAUGUGUAGCGGUGAAAUGCGUAGAUAUAUGGAGGAACACCGGUGGCGAAAGCGGCUCUCUGGUCUGUAACUGACGCUGAGGCUCGAAAGCGUGGGGAGCGAACAGGAUUAGAUACCCUGGUAGUCCACGCCGUAAACGAUGAGUGCUAGGUGUUGGGUCCUUUCACGGGACUCCAGUGCCGCAG
Molecule: ribosomal RNA, 804 nt
Filed under: uncultured bacterium
Lineage: Bacteria
Description: partial 16S ribosomal RNA
Rfam family: Bacterial small subunit ribosomal RNA
Source: RNAcentral